RNAcentral lists this transfer RNA (75 nucleotides) under Streptomyces noursei. Its description in RNAcentral is "tRNA-Ala". It matches the Rfam family "tRNA". From Rfam's summary of the family: Transfer RNA (tRNA) molecules are approximately 80 nucleotides in length. Their secondary structure includes four short double-helical elements and three loops (D, anti-codon, and T loops). RNAcentral also lists the same sequence under 2 other names. Lineage: Bacteria; Bacillati; Actinomycetota; Actinomycetes; Kitasatosporales; Streptomycetaceae. The record is from RNAcentral.
GGGCCUGUGGCGCAGCUGGUAGCGCACCUCGUUCGCAACGAGGGGGUCAGGGGUUCGAGUCCCCUCAGGUCCACC